GGGCUCACUUCGGCAGCACAUAUACUAAAUUGGAAUGAUACAGAGAAGAUUAGCAUGGCCCCUGUGCAAGGAUGACAAGUAAAUUUGUGCAGUAUUCUAUACUAAA
Molecule: small nuclear RNA, 106 nt
Organism: Dipodomys spectabilis (banner-tailed kangaroo rat)
Lineage: Eukaryota; Metazoa; Chordata; Mammalia; Rodentia; Heteromyidae
Source: RefSeq, a predicted model, not a curated record